UACAGAGGGUGCGAGCGUUAAUCGGAAUUACUGGGCGUAAAGCGUGCGUAGACGGCUAUCUAAGUCGGGUGUGAAAGCCCCGGGCUCAACCUGGGAAUUGCAUUCGAGACUGAAUAGCUAGGGUACGGUAGAGGGAAGUGGAAUUUCCGGUGUAGCGGUGAAAUGCGUAGAUAUCGGAAGGAACAUCAGUGGCGAAAGCGACUUCCUGGACCAGUACCGACGUCAGGCACGA
Molecule: ribosomal RNA, 232 nt
Filed under: uncultured bacterium
Lineage: Bacteria
Description: partial 16S ribosomal RNA
Rfam family: Bacterial small subunit ribosomal RNA
Source: RNAcentral